AUUGAACGCUGGCGGCAUGCCUUACACAUGCAAGUCGAACGGCAGCAUGAUCUAGCUUGCUAGAUUGAUGGCGAGUGGCGAACGGGUGAGUCAUACAUCGGAACGUGCCCUGUAGUGGGGGAUAACUAGUCGAAAGAUUAGCUAAUACCGCAUACGACCUGAGGGUGAAAGUGGGGGACCGCAAGGCCUCAUGCUAUAGGAGCGGCCGAUGUCUGAUUAGCUAGUUGGGGAGGUAAAGGCUCACCAAGGCGACGAUCAGUAGCUGGUCUGAGAGGACGAUCAGCCACACUGGGACUGAGACACGGCCCAGACUCCUACGGGAGGCAGCAGUGGGGAAUUUUGGACAAUGGGCGAAAGCCUGAUCCAGCAAUGCCGCGUGUGUGAAGAAGGCCUUCGGGUUGUAAAGCACUUUUGUCCGGAAAGAAAUGGCUCUGGUUAAUACCUGGGGUCGAUGACGGUACCGGAAGAAUAAGGACCGGCUAACUACGUG
RNAcentral lists this ribosomal RNA (490 nucleotides) under uncultured bacterium. RNAcentral describes it as "partial 16S ribosomal RNA". It matches the Rfam family "Bacterial small subunit ribosomal RNA", at positions 30 to 507 of the family's 1533-position model. The record is from RNAcentral.